This 516-nucleotide small RNA is filed under the name uncultured Glomus. Its description in RNAcentral is "SSU rRNA". It matches the Rfam family "Eukaryotic small subunit ribosomal RNA", at positions 569 to 1085 of the family's 1831-position model. The record is from RNAcentral. Lineage: Eukaryota; Fungi; Glomeromycota; Glomeromycetes; Glomerales; Glomeraceae.
AGCAGCCGCGGUAAUUCCAGCUCCAAUAGCGUAUAUUAAAGUUGUUGCAGUUAAAAAGCUCGUAGUUGAAUUUCGGGGUUAGUAGGUUGGUCAUGCCUCUGGUAUGUACUGGUCUCACUGAUUCCUCCUUCCUGAUGAACCGUAAUGCCAUUAAUUUGGUGUUGCGGGGAAUUUGGACUGUUACUUUGAAAAAAUUAGAGUGUUUAAAGCAAGCUAACGCUUGAAUACAUUAGCAUGGAAUAAUGAAAUAGGACGUUCGAUCCUAUUUUGUUGGUUUCUAGGAUUGACGUAAUGAUUAAUAGGGAUAGUUGGGGGCAUUAGUAUUCAAUUGUCAGAGGUGAAAUUCUUGGAUUUAUUGAAGACUAACUACUGCGAAAGCAUUUGCCAAGGAUGUUUUCAUUAAUCAAGAACGAAAGUUAGGGGAUCGAAGACGAUCAGAUACCGUCGUAGUCUUAACCAUAAACUAUGCCGACUAGGGAUCGGAUGAUGUUAAUUUUUUAAUGUACUCAUUCGGCG